RNAcentral lists this ribosomal RNA (346 nucleotides) under uncultured bacterium. RNAcentral's name for it is "partial 16S ribosomal RNA". It matches the Rfam family "Bacterial small subunit ribosomal RNA", at positions 338 to 681 of the family's 1533-position model. The record is from RNAcentral.
CCUACGGGAGGCAGCAGUGAGGAAUAUUGGUCAAUGGCCGCAAGGCUGAACCAGCCAAGGCGCGUGAAGGAAGAAGGACCUAUGGUUUGUAAACUUCUGUUAUAGGGGAAUAAAGGGAGGCACGUGUGGAUAUUUGCAUGUACCCUAUGAAUAAGGAUCGGCUAACUCCGUGCCAGCAGCCGCGGUAAUACGGAGGAUGCGAGCGUUAUCCGGAUUUAUUGGGGUUCAAGGGUGCGUAGUUUGUUUUUUAAGGCAGCGGUGAAAGUUUGUGGCUCCACCAUAAAAGUGCCGUUGAAACUGGCAGCCUUGCGUGUGUUUGAGGUAGGCCGAUUUCGUGGUGUAGCGG